Molecule: ribosomal RNA, 169 nt
Filed under: uncultured marine bacterium
Lineage: Bacteria
Description: partial 16S ribosomal RNA
Rfam family: Bacterial small subunit ribosomal RNA
Source: RNAcentral
CCUACGGGAGGCAGCAGUGGGGAAUCUUGGACAAUGGGCGAAAGCCUGAUCCAGCCAUGCCGCGUGAGCGAUGAAGGCCUUAGGGUUGUAAAGCUCUUUCGCCAGGGAAGAUAAUGACGGUACCUGGUAAAGAAACCCCGGCUAACUCCGUGCCAGCAGCCGCGGUAAU